Long non-coding RNA from Gopherus flavomarginatus (Mexican gopher tortoise), 1769 nucleotides. RefSeq lists it as uncharacterized. The record is from RefSeq and is a predicted model, not a curated record. Lineage: Eukaryota; Metazoa; Chordata; Testudines; Testudinidae. The transcript is spliced from 2 exons.
UUGCAGUGAAUCUGCAUUAAACAACAGGAAUACUACUUAUCCAAUCAAGUGAUAUCUAAGAUAGCUUCCUUUUAAUUUUAAAAAUAUAUUUAAAUACUGCUAUUUGGUAUAUAAGGAAAACAUGUUUUUGGCAGGGAUACCUAGGUACACAUGAAAAGGGCUGAAAUAUCUAUGCUGCAUAUAUAAACAGAUAAGAUUAUGCCUAGAAGGCAUUUGGGGAACAUCUGUCAAUUUUUUAUGGAAUGCACUGAUUGUGGGCUAUUGAUUGCAUUUAACAAAGUUGUUGCAAAAAAAAAAAAUCAGCUAACAAUUUGUGUUGAAAGGGCUGAUCAAUAUUUAAAUGACUCACUUUAUUGAUUUAAAAUUAACUUUCAAUUAAGAGAUCCAUAGGACUCUUAACUGCGACACUUAUCCAUUCAAGAGAAAAUAAAGGUACAUUUAUCGAUACACUUAAACAGCAGUGGCUGGUUUCCUAUUGAUUCAGUCAUUUGCGCUGGGAUUCGUUAGCGUCAUCAGACUUUAACUCGCUUACUAGGUCUUCACAGUGUAUAAUACUGCAAGAUGCAGGAAUGUACAAAAUGACACAAAGGAAGUAUAUGAAAAACUAAACCGAGUUAAAAGAUGUAUGUAAAGCAUCAUGGCCCAGAACUGUCUGUUCAGUGAAAUGAAGCUGCCCCAAGUUGACCCAUUCAUUACGUAUUCAUUUGCUGUGAUGUAAUCUCUGGGAGGAAAAUGCAAGCUGUCUAAUUAUGUUAAACAUCAGAACCUCUUCAGUUCAAAUGGCAUUAUUCUUUAACCCUAGAAUCUAUAGAGAGUGUGUUUAAGAUCUCACUCUAAUAUGUGACCACCAAUAUUUUUAGAAAAAUCUUCUAGAUUUUGUUAAACCCUAAAACCAAAGCAUUUUAUAUUAUUAUGAAGACCUGGUUACAUUAUUUAUUUGUUGCUCUGUCCACUAAAGCUUAAAUUGUAUUUACCACAGGCUCAUUUGCACAGUCCUAUUAUAUAGCAGUAAUAUCUUUAGGAUCAUAAUGAGGCAGAAAACUGAUUAUGACCCUUGUGCUACUGGGUGGGAGUUGAGAUCAGAAAAACUGGUGUGUAAAUGCAAAGCAAGUGUCCCUUCCUAAAAUGUCUAAAUCACAUAAUAUUAGUGUAACAUAAUUUGGAAUAUAUUAUGAUGGUUGCAAUUACUAAAAAGUGCAUGGUUACAUUAUUUCCAACUGGAAAUUAGAUGAUUAUACUAAUUAAGUGAUAGCAGGUGGCACAGGAUGACUGUUACAAUCCUCUCUGAUCUGCAAAGGAUGCAAGGUUCAGUGUCUAAAACACCCAGGAGAAGUAACAAUUGGCUUAAGCACUAUUUGGUCCCAAGGUGCAGAAGAGGGAUUCACUUUGAUUUAACACUUCCUUAUCACAUCAAAGAGGUGAAAAAGGCAUCUUUAUGGAUUGGUCUGGAAAAAAAUUCCACUGCUUCAGCUUUUAGCCUAGCAGCUAAAGUCUUUGAGUAUAUUAGAACUACAAUAUGAAAUAACUACAAAUAGAAUAAUAUAAUGCUAGAAUUGAAAUGAAAAAUCUUUUGAUAACAAGUGGCCUAAAUUUCAUACUAUUGCUUUCAAUUUGUUAAAUUCUGAAAUAGUUAAUAUUGUAUUAAUAUGAGGCUGAUGAUUAAAUUCAAAAAGCUCAAGUAACAAAUGCUUUACACUAUCAUAUGAGCAUUGUAUGCUCUUACGAAUGUAUCUGGUCAUUAAAUAAAUUUAAGUUUUAGUUGCUCUUAA